Molecule: long non-coding RNA, 416 nt
Filed under: Jatropha curcas
Lineage: Eukaryota; Viridiplantae; Streptophyta; Magnoliopsida; Malpighiales; Euphorbiaceae
Description: long non-coding RNA (JCUR_LNC001617)
Source: RNAcentral
UGACAUCCCAGGUUUGGGGCACAACACCUUAGGCGAAUCCCACAUCGGCUACGCACAAGGUGAAAGUCCUAUACAUAAAGAGGGGUGGUCUCAGAACAUGGUAGGCGCCUUUUGGGUUGGCAGAGCGGAGGUUUCCCUGGCCCAAAGGGACAAAACCGUGAGGGUGACCUCGUACGGAAGGGCCCAAAGCGGACAAUACUUACCAUGGGCUGGACCAUGACAAUUUGGUAUCAGAGCCAAGCCUUGUCCCUCUGGCCGGUGGUGGGGCAAACCUCAGCGAGGACGCUGAGUCCCUAAGGGGGGGUGUAUGUGACAUCCCAGGUUUGGGGCACAACACCUUAGGCGAAUCCCACAUCGGCUACGCACAAGGUGAAAGUCCUAUACAUAAAGAGGGGUGGUCUCAGAACAUGGUAGGC